Molecule: ribosomal RNA, 253 nt
Filed under: uncultured bacterium
Lineage: Bacteria
Description: partial 16S ribosomal RNA
Rfam family: Bacterial small subunit ribosomal RNA
Source: RNAcentral
UACGAGUGCCUCAAGCGUUAUCCGGAAUUAUUGGGCGUAAAGGGUGCGUAGGCGGUUCUGUUAGUCUCGCGUUAAAUUCUUCGGCUUAACCGGGGGCAUGCGCGGGAAACGGCAGGACUAGAAGGUGCGAGGGGUCUCUGGAACUCAUGGUGUAGCGGUGAAAUUCGUAGAUAUUGGGAAGAACACCGGUGGCGAAGGCGGCUCACUGGCCCGUAACUGACGCUCAUGCACGACAGCGUGGGGAUCAAACAGG